This 732-nucleotide ribosomal RNA is filed under the name Helvella calycina. RNAcentral describes it as "eukaryotic LSU rRNA". It matches the Rfam family "Eukaryotic large subunit ribosomal RNA", at positions 55 to 798 of the family's 3401-position model. Lineage: Eukaryota; Fungi; Ascomycota; Pezizomycetes; Pezizales; Helvellaceae. The record is from RNAcentral.
GGGAAAGAACCAACAGGGAUUGCCCCAGUAACGGCGAGUGAAGCGGCAGGAGCUCAAAUUUGAAAUCUGGGGUCCCCCGACCCCCGAGUUGUAAUUUGGAGAGGCAUCUUCGGGGGGGAGCGCUGGCCCAUGUUCCUUGGAACAGGACGUCGCAGAGGGUGAGAAUCCCGUGCCAGGCCGGCUGCCUCCUCCCAGGUGGAGGGCCUUCGACGAGUCGAGUUGUUUGGGAAUGCAGCUCCAAGUGGGUGGUAAAUUUCAUCUAAAGCUAAAUACCGGCGGGAGACCGAUAGCGCACAAGUAGAGUGAUCGAAAGAUGAAAAGCACUUUGAAAAUAGAGUCAAAAAGUACGUGAAAUUGUUGAAAGGGAAGCGCUUGAGACCAGACUCAGACCCGAGCAAACACCGCGCCCCUCGGGGCCGUGCAAUUGCCUGGGGCUGGGCCAGCAUCAGUUGGCGUGGCGGGACAAAGGCGCGGGGAAUGUGGCUCCCCUCGGGGAGUGUUAUUAGGCCCGCGCUCAAUGCCGCCGCCGCCGACUGAGGACCGCGCCUCGGCUAGGAUGCUGGCAUAAUGGCCUUCAGCGACCCGUCUUGAAACACGGACCAAGGAGUCUAACAUCUAUGCGAGUGUUUGGGCGUCAAACCCUUGCGCGGAAUGAAAGUGAGCGGAGGUGGGAACCCCUUCGCAGGGCGCACCAUCGACCGAUCCUGAUGUCUUCGGAUGGAUUUGAGUAGG